AGUUGGUGAGGUAAAGGCUUACCAAGGCGACGAUCAGUAGCUGGUCUGAGAGGANGACCAGCCACACUGGGACUGACACACGGCCCAGACUCCUACGGGAGGCAGCAGUGGGGAAUUUUGGACAAUGGGGGAAACCCUGAUCCAGCCAUGCCGCGUGAGUGAAGAAGGCCUUCGGGUUGUAAAGCUCUUUCAGCCGGAACGAAAAGGUCACGGCUAAUACCUGUGACUAGUGACGGUACCGGAAGAAGAAGCACCGGCUAACUACGUGCCAGCAGCCGCGGUAAUACGUAGGGUGCAAGCGUUAAUCGGAAUUACUGGGCGUAAAGCGUGCGCAGGCGGUUUUGUAAGUCAGAUGUGAA
Molecule: ribosomal RNA, 359 nt
Filed under: uncultured beta proteobacterium
Lineage: Bacteria; Pseudomonadati; Pseudomonadota; Betaproteobacteria
Description: bacterial SSU rRNA
Rfam family: Bacterial small subunit ribosomal RNA
Source: RNAcentral